RNAcentral lists this ribosomal RNA (155 nucleotides) under Neodiprion pinetum (white pine sawfly). Its description in RNAcentral is "5.8S ribosomal RNA". It matches the Rfam family "5.8S ribosomal RNA". Rfam says of the family: 5.8S ribosomal RNA (5.8S rRNA) is a component of the large subunit of the eukaryotic ribosome. It is transcribed by RNA polymerase I as part of the 45S precursor that also contains 18S and 28S rRNA. Lineage: Eukaryota; Metazoa; Arthropoda; Insecta; Hymenoptera; Diprionidae. The record is from RNAcentral.
UACCCUGAACGGUGAAUCACUUGGCUCGUGGGUCGAUGAAGAACGCAGCUAAUUGCGCGUCAACUUGUGAACUGCAGGACACGUGAACAUUGACAUUUCGAACGCACAUUGCGGUCCACGGAUACGAUUCCCGGACCACGCCUAGCUGAGGGUCG